RNAcentral lists this transfer RNA (70 nucleotides) under Vibrio cholerae O1 str. Nep-21106. Its description in RNAcentral is "partial tRNA-His". It matches the Rfam family "tRNA". From Rfam's summary of the family: Transfer RNA (tRNA) molecules are approximately 80 nucleotides in length. Their secondary structure includes four short double-helical elements and three loops (D, anti-codon, and T loops). Lineage: Bacteria; Pseudomonadati; Pseudomonadota; Gammaproteobacteria; Vibrionales; Vibrionaceae. The record is from RNAcentral.
AUAGCUCAGUUGGUAGAGCCCCGGAUUGUGAUUCCGGUUGUCGUGGGUUCGAGCCCCAUUAGCCACCCCA